This 28-nucleotide small RNA is filed under the name Bombyx mori (domestic silkworm). Its description in RNAcentral is "ovarian small RNA-30907". Lineage: Eukaryota; Metazoa; Arthropoda; Insecta; Lepidoptera; Bombycidae. The record is from RNAcentral.
UGAAGAUGAAAUCAUAUUUCGUUGAAAA